RNAcentral lists this transfer RNA (73 nucleotides) under Ixodes scapularis (black-legged tick). It matches the Rfam family "tRNA". From Rfam's summary of the family: Transfer RNA (tRNA) molecules are approximately 80 nucleotides in length. Their secondary structure includes four short double-helical elements and three loops (D, anti-codon, and T loops). The record is from Rfam by way of RNAcentral. Lineage: Eukaryota; Metazoa; Arthropoda; Arachnida; Ixodida; Ixodidae.
ACCUGGUUAGCUCAGUUGAUAGAGCGCUCAACUGGAAAUGUAGAGGUGCCCGGUUCCAUACCAGGACCAGGCG